GCAGCCGCCACGGGAAUACAGAGGGUGCGAGCGUUAAUCGGAUUUACUGGGCGUAAAGCGUGCGUAGGCGGCUAAUUGAGUCGGAUGUGAAAUCCCCGAGCUUAACUUGGGAAUUGCAUUCAAUACUGGUUAGCUAGAGUGUGGGAGAGGAUGGUAGAAUUCCAGGUGUAGCGGUGAAAUGCGUAGAGAUCUGGAGGAAUACCGAUGGCGAAGGCAGCCAUCUGGCCUAACACUGACGCUGAGGUACGAAAGCAUGGGGAGCAAACAGGAUUAGAUACCCCCGUAGUCCCUGUCUCUUAUAC
This 302-nucleotide ribosomal RNA is filed under the name uncultured bacterium. Its description in RNAcentral is "partial 16S ribosomal RNA". It matches the Rfam family "Bacterial small subunit ribosomal RNA", at positions 508 to 807 of the family's 1533-position model. The record is from RNAcentral.